GUGUUUUAAUUGUAUGAUCUUUUGCAUGUUUUACAUCUUGAGCAUCCUAGUCCAUCAUCCUCCUGUGGUUCACAUCCGGUACAUGGUCUGUCAUUAGCGUAGUCGGUAAUAGGACAGAGUGGCGGUCUGUUACAUCCCAAUCCUAAAACGUAAAGUUAUAAAUCAAAUACCGAAAUUGUGAAUGCAACGUUAAAUGUUGUAUUUUGAUUUUUGACUAACAUUGAUAUUCAAUUUCCUAUCAUCAAAAGUCGUACACAAUUUUAACUAAUAAUUUAUUCCAAUAUGUGCUGCAAUUUUCAUUUUGCCUGUAUGGGACAUUAUUUUUA
This 326-nucleotide long non-coding RNA is filed under the name Mytilus galloprovincialis (Mediterranean mussel). The record is from RNAcentral. Lineage: Eukaryota; Metazoa; Mollusca; Bivalvia; Mytilida; Mytilidae.